CUGGGAACUGCGUUNUGAACUGGGUGACUAGAGUGUGUCAGAGGGAGGUAGAAUUCCACGUGUAGCAGUGAAAUGCGUAGAGAUGUGGAGGAAUACCGAUGGCGAAGGCAGCCUCCUGGGAUAACACUGACGUUCAUGCCCGAAAGCGUGGGUAGCAAACAGGAUUAGAUACCCUGGUAGUCCACGCCCUAAACGAUGUCGAUUAGCUGUUGGGCAGCAUGACUGCUUAGUAGCGAAGCUAACGCGUGAAAUCGACCGCCUGGGGAGUACGGUCGCAAGAUUAAAACUCAAAGGAAUUGACGGGGACCCGCACAAGCGGUGGAUGAUGUGGAUUAAUUCGAUGCAACGCGAAGAACCUUACCUGGUCUUGACAUGUACGGAACCCUCCAGAGACGGAGGGGUGCCUUCGGGAGCCGUAACACAGGUGCUGCAUGGCUGUCGUCAGCUCGUGUCGUGAGAUGUUGGGUUAAGUCCCGCAACGAGCGCAACCCUUGUCAUUAGUUGCCAUCAUUAAGUUGGGCACUCUAAUGAGACUGCCGGUGACAAGCCGGAGGAAGGUGGGGAUGACGUCAAGUCCUCAUGGCCCUUAUGACCAGGGCUUCACACGUCAUACAAUGGUCGGUACAGAGGGUAGCCAAGCCGCGAGGCGGAGCCAAUCUCACAAAACCGAUCGUAGUCCGGAUUGCACUCUGCAACUCGAGUGCAUGAAGUCGGAAUCGCUAGUAAUCGCAGGUCAGCAUACUGCGGUGAAUACGUUCCCGGGUCUUGUACACACCGCCCGUCACACCAUGGGAGUGGGGGAUACCAGAAGUNGGUAGGGUAACCGCAAGGAGCCC
Molecule: ribosomal RNA, 836 nt
Filed under: uncultured bacterium
Lineage: Bacteria
Description: bacterial SSU rRNA
Rfam family: Bacterial small subunit ribosomal RNA
Source: RNAcentral